This is a small nucleolar RNA of Mya arenaria, 75 nucleotides long. The record is from RefSeq and is a predicted model, not a curated record. Lineage: Eukaryota; Metazoa; Mollusca; Bivalvia; Myida; Myidae.
UUGCAGGGAUGAUAACCAUUUUUUUCUCCAGAUAACUAUGAUGGUAGAAAAACGAGCUUUUUAAAUCUGAGCAAG